AGCGUAAGUAGCGAACAGRMUUAAAUACCCKGGUAGUCUACGCCGUAAACUAUGAGURCUAGGUGURGGGAGUGUCGACCCUCUUUGUGCCGAAGCUAACGCUUUAAGUGYSCCGCCUGGGGASUACGGUCGCAAGGCUAAAACUCAAAGGAAUUGACGGGGGCCCGCACAAGCAGC
Molecule: ribosomal RNA, 177 nt
Filed under: uncultured Chloroflexota bacterium
Lineage: Bacteria; Bacillati; Chloroflexota
Description: uncultured Chloroflexi bacterium partial 16S ribosomal RNA
Rfam family: Bacterial small subunit ribosomal RNA
Source: RNAcentral